AUUGAACGCUGGCGGCAGGCUUAACACAUGCAAGUCGAGCGGGGUGAUGGUGCUUGCACUAUCACUUAGCGGCGGACGGGUGAGUAAUGCUUAGGAAUCUGCCUAUUAGUGGGGGACAACAUCUCGAAAGGGAUGCUAAUACCGCAUACGUCCUACGGGAGAAAGCAGGGGACCACUUGUGACCUUGCGCUAAUAGAUGAGCCUAAGCCGGAUUAGCUAGUUGGUGGGGUAAAGGCCUACCAAGACGACGAUCUGUAGCGGGUCUGAGAGGAUGAUCCGCCACACUGGGACUGAGACACGGCCCAGACUCCUACGGGAGGCAGCAGUGGGGAAUAUUGGACAAUGGGGGGAACCCUGAUCCAGCCAUGCCGCGUGUGUGAAGAAGGCCUUAUGGUUGUAAAGCACUUUAAGCGAGGAGGAGGCUCUUUUGGUUAAUACCCAAGAUGAGUGGACGUUACUCGCAGAAUAAGCACCGGCUAACUCUGUGCCAGCCGCCGCAGUAA
Molecule: ribosomal RNA, 503 nt
Filed under: uncultured bacterium
Lineage: Bacteria
Description: partial 16S ribosomal RNA
Rfam family: Bacterial small subunit ribosomal RNA
Source: RNAcentral